RNAcentral lists this small nuclear RNA (98 nucleotides) under Castor canadensis (American beaver). The record is from RNAcentral. Lineage: Eukaryota; Metazoa; Chordata; Mammalia; Rodentia; Castoridae.
CUUGCAGCCAGAUGCAAGCAGCAAUAAAGAUACACAGAAGAUUAGCAUGGCCCCUGCGCAAGGAUGACGUGCAAAUUCCUGAAGCAUUCCAUAUUAAA